GACGAACGCUGGCGGCGUGCUUAACACAUGCAAGUCGAACGGAAAGGCCUCAGCUUGCUGGGGUACUCGAGUGGCGAACGGGUGAGUAACACGUGGGUGAUCUGCCUUGCACUCUGGGAUAAGCUUGGGAAACUGGGUCUAAUACCGGAUAUGAACUGCCUUUAGUGUGGUGGUUGGAAAGUUUUUUCGGUGCAAGAUGAGCUCGCGGCCUAUCAGCUUGUUGGUGGGGUAAUGGCCUACCAAGGCGUCGACGGGUAGCCGGCCUGGGAGGGUGUACGGCCACAUUGGGACUGAGAUACGGCCCAGACUCCUACGGGAGGCAGCAGUGGGGAAUAUUGCACAAUGGGCGGAAGCCUGAUGCAGCGACGCCGCGUGGGGGAUGACGGCCUUCGGGUUGUAAACUCCUUUCGACAGGGACGAAGCUUUUUGUGACGGUACCUGUAGAAGAAGCACCGGCUAACUACGUG
Molecule: ribosomal RNA, 467 nt
Filed under: uncultured bacterium
Lineage: Bacteria
Description: partial 16S ribosomal RNA
Rfam family: Bacterial small subunit ribosomal RNA
Source: RNAcentral